This 200-nucleotide microRNA precursor is filed under the name Triticum aestivum (bread wheat). RNAcentral's name for it is "MIR1435 microRNA precursor family". It matches the Rfam family "MIR1435 microRNA precursor family". Lineage: Eukaryota; Viridiplantae; Streptophyta; Magnoliopsida; Poales; Poaceae. The record is from Rfam by way of RNAcentral.
UAGAGUUGACCGAAGUCAAACUUUGUAAAGUUUGACCAAGUUUGUAGAAAAGAAUAUAAAUAUUUACCCUAACAAAUCUAUAUGAUGCGAAAGUACGUUCAAUAAUGAAUGUAAUGGUAUUGAUUUGUUAUUGUACAUGUUCAUAUUUUUUACUAUAAACUUCGUCAAAAUUUACAAAGCUUGACUUUGACCAAAACUAA